Molecule: ribosomal RNA, 253 nt
Filed under: uncultured bacterium
Lineage: Bacteria
Description: partial 16S ribosomal RNA
Rfam family: Bacterial small subunit ribosomal RNA
Source: RNAcentral
UACGUAGGGGGCAAGCGUUGUCCGGAGUUACUGGGCGUAAAGCGCCCGCAGGCGUUCGAUUAAGUUUGGAGUGACAGUUGGUGGCUUAACUGCCAAAGUGCUUUGAAAACUGAUCGACUUGAGGGCUUCAGAGGGACACGGAAUUCCGGGUGGAGUGGUGAAAUGCGUAGAGAUCCGGAGGAACACCGAAGGCGAAGGCAGUGUCCUGGGGAGUACCUGACGCUCAGGUGCGAAAGCCAGGGGAGCGAACGGG